UAAGGGCGCACGGUGGAUGCCUUGGCACUAGAAGCCGAUGAAGGACGUUACUAACGACGAUAUGCUUUGGGGAGCUGUAAGUAAGCUUUGAUCCAGAGAUUUCCGAAUGGGGAAACCCAGCAUGAGUUAUGUCAUGUUAUCGAUAUGUGAAUACAUAGCAUAUCAGAAGGCACACCCGGAGAACUGAAACAUCUUAGUACCCGGAGGAAGAGAAAGAAAAUUCGAUUCCCUUAGUAGCGGCGAGCGAAACGGGAAGAGCCCAAACCAACAAGCUUGCUUGUUGGGGUUGUAGGACACUCUAUACGGAGUUACAAAGGACGACAUUAGACGAAUCAUCUGGAAAGAUGAAUCAAAGAAGGUAAUAAUCCUGUAGUCGAAAAUGUUGUCUCUCUUGAGUGGAUCCUGAGUACGACGGAGCACGUGAAAUUCCGUCGGAAUCUGGGAGGACCAUCUCCUAAGGCUAAAUACUCUCUAGUGACCGAUAGUGAACCAGUACCGUGAGGGAAAGGUGAAAAGCACCCCGGAAGGGGAGUGAAAUAGAACCUGAAACCGUGUGCUUACAAGUAGUCAGAGCCCGUUAAUGGGUGAUGGCGUGCCUUUUGUAGAAUGAACCGGCGAGUUACGAUUUGAUGCAAGGUUAAGCAGUAAAUGUGGAGCCGUAGCGAAAGCGAGUCUGAAUAGGGCGUUUAGUAUUUGGUCGUAGACCCGAAACCAGGUGAUCUACCCUUGGUCAGGUUGAAGUUCAGGUAACACUGAAUGGAGGACCGAACCGACUUACGUUGAAAAGUGAGCGGAUGAACUGAGGGUAGCGGAGAAAUUCCAAUCGAACCUGGAGAUAGCUGGUUCUCUCCGAAAUAGCUUUAGGGCUAGCCUCAAGUGAUGAUUAUUGGAGGUAGAGCACUGUUUGGACGAGGGGCCCCUCUCGGGUUACCGAAUUCAGACAAACUCCGAAUGCCAAUUAAUUUAACUUGGGAGUCAGAACAUGGGUGAUAAGGUCCGUGUUCGAAAGGGAAACAGCCCAGACCACCAGCUAAGGUCCCAAAAUAUAUGUUAAGUGGAAAAGGAUGUGGCGUUGCCCAGACAACUAGGAUGUUGGCUUAGAAGCAGCCAUCAUUUAAAGAGUGCGUAAUAGCUCACUAGUCGAGUGACACUGCGCCGAAAAUGUACCGGGGCUAAACAUAUUACCGAAGCUGUGGAUUGUCCUUUGGACAAUGGUAGGAGAGCGUUCUAAGGGCGUUGAAGCAUGAUCGUAAGGACAUGUGGAGCGCUUAGAAGUGAGAAUGCCGGUGUGAGUAGCGAAAGACGGGUGAGAAUCCCGUCCACCGAUUGACUAAGGUUUCCAGAGGAAGGCUCGUCCGCUCUGGGUUAGUCGGGUCCUAAGCUGAGGCCGACAGGCGUAGGCGAUGGAUAACAGGUUGAUAUUCCUGUACCACCUAUAAUCGUUUUAAUCGAUGGGGGGACGCAGUAGGAUAGGCGAAGCGUGCGAUUGGAUUGCACGUCUAAGCAGUAAGGCUGAGUAUUAGGCAAAUCCGGUACUCGUUAAGGCUGAGCUGUGAUGGGGAGAAGACAUUGUGUCUUCGAGUCGUUGAUUUCACACUGCCGAGAAAAGCCUCUAGAUAGAAAAUAGGUGCCCGUACCGCAAACCGACACAGGUAGUCAAGAUGAGAAUUCUAAGGUGAGCGAGCGAACUCUCGUUAAGGAACUCGGCAAAAUGACCCCGUAACUUCGGGAGAAGGGGUGCUCUUUAGGGUUAACGCCCAGAAGAGCCGCAGUGAAUAGGCCCAAGCGACUGUUUAUCAAAAACACAGGUCUCUGCUAAACCGUAAGGUGAUGUAUAGGGGCUGACGCCUGCCCGGUGCUGGAAGGUU
This 1868-nucleotide ribosomal RNA is filed under the name Staphylococcus aureus. Its description in RNAcentral is "partial 23S ribosomal RNA". It matches the Rfam family "Bacterial large subunit ribosomal RNA", at positions 12 to 1878 of the family's 2925-position model. Lineage: Bacteria; Bacillati; Bacillota; Bacilli; Caryophanales; Staphylococcaceae. The record is from RNAcentral.